GACGAACGCUGGCGGCGUGCUUAACACAUGCAAGUCGAACGGAAAGGCCCUGCUUUUGUGGGGUGCUCGAGUGGCGAACGGGUGAGUAACACGUGAGUAACCUGCCCUUGACUUUGGGAUAACUUCAGGAAACUGGGGCUAAUACCGGAUAGGAGCUCCUGCUGCAUGGUGGGGGGUGGAAAGGUUCGGCGGUUGGGGAUGGUCUCGCGGCUGAUCAGCUUGUUGGUGGGGUAGUGGCUUACCAAGGCUUUGACGGGUAGCCGGCCUGGGAGGGUGACCGGCCACAUUGGGACUGAGAUACGGCCCGGACUCCUACGGGAGGCAGCAGUGGGGAAUAUUGCACAAUGGGCGGAAGCCUGAUGCAGCAACGCCGCGUGCUGGAUGACGGCCUUCGGGUUGUAAACCGCUUUCGCCUGUGCCGAAGCGUGAGUGACGGUAAUGGGUAAAGAAGCACCGGCUAACUACGUG
RNAcentral lists this ribosomal RNA (468 nucleotides) under uncultured bacterium. Its description in RNAcentral is "partial 16S ribosomal RNA". It matches the Rfam family "Bacterial small subunit ribosomal RNA", at positions 28 to 507 of the family's 1533-position model. The record is from RNAcentral.